GAUGAACGCUGGCGGCGUGCCUAAUACAUGCAAGUCGAGCGAACAGACGAGGCGAUUGCUCCUCGGUCGUUAGCGGCGGACGGGUGAGUAACACGUGGAUAACCUACCUAUAAAAAUGGGAUAACUUCGAGAAACCUGAGCUAAUAGCGGAUAACGUUUUCAACCGCUGGGGUUAGGAGUGAUAGCCCGUCUUGCGGUCCCAUAUCGAUGGAUCCGCGCCGCAUUCGCUAGUUGGUAAGGUAACGGCUUACCAAGGCAACGAUGCGUAGCCGACGUGAGAGGGUGCCAGGCCCCAUGGGCACGGGGCAAAGCUCCAGACUACUACGGGAGGCAGCAGCAGGGAAUCGUGCGCAGUGGGCGCAGGCCUGACGCAGCAACGCGGAGUGAGUGAAGAAGGUCUCCGGAUCGCAAAACACUGUCAGUAGGGCAGAACAAAUGUCUACGUACCUAUGCCCGUCUUGACGGUCCCUAGGCAGAAAGCCGCGGAUAACCACGUG
Molecule: ribosomal RNA, 497 nt
Filed under: uncultured bacterium
Lineage: Bacteria
Description: partial 16S ribosomal RNA
Rfam family: Bacterial small subunit ribosomal RNA
Source: RNAcentral